This 483-nucleotide ribosomal RNA is filed under the name uncultured bacterium. RNAcentral describes it as "partial 16S ribosomal RNA". It matches the Rfam family "Bacterial small subunit ribosomal RNA", at positions 30 to 507 of the family's 1533-position model. The record is from RNAcentral.
AUUGAACGCUGGCGGCAGGCCUAACACAUGCAAGUCGAGCGGAUGAAGGGAGCUUGCUCCUGGAUUCAGCGGCGGACGGGUGAGUAAUGCCUAGGAAUCUGCCUGGUAGUGGGGGAUAACGUCCGGAAACGGGCGCUAAUACCGCAUACGUCCUGAGGAGAAAGUGGGGGAUCUUCGGACCUCACGCUAUCAGAUGAGCCUAGGUCGGAUUAGCUAGUUGGUGGGGUAAAGGCCUACCAAGGCGACGAUCCGUAACUGGUCUGAGAGGAUGAUCAGUCACACUGGAACUGAGACACGGUCCAGACUCCUACGGGAGGCAGCAGUGGGGAAUAUUGGACAAUGGGCGAAAGCCUGAUCCAGCCAUGCCGCGUGUGUGAGGAAGGUCUUCGGAUUGUAAAGCACUUUAAGUUGGGAGGAAGGGCAGUAAGUUAAUACCUUGCUGUUUUGACGUUACCAACAGAAUAAGCACCGGCUAACUUCGUG